Molecule: ribosomal RNA, 254 nt
Filed under: uncultured bacterium
Lineage: Bacteria
Description: partial 16S ribosomal RNA
Rfam family: Bacterial small subunit ribosomal RNA
Source: RNAcentral
UACGUAGGGUGCAAGCGUUGUCCGGAAUUAUUGGGCGUAAAGAGCUUGUAGGCGGUUUGUCGCGUCUGCUGUGAAAUUUCGGGGCUCAACCCCGAACUUGCAGUGGGUACGGGCAGGACUAGAGUGUGGUAGGGGAGACUGGAAUUCCUGGUGUAGCGGUGGAAUGCGCAGAUAUCAGGAGGAACACCAAUAGCGAAGGCAGCUCGCUGGGACGUUACUGACACUAAGGCGCGAAAGCGUGGGGAGCGAACAGG